RNAcentral lists this ribosomal RNA (437 nucleotides) under uncultured bacterium. Its description in RNAcentral is "partial 16S ribosomal RNA". It matches the Rfam family "Bacterial small subunit ribosomal RNA", at positions 30 to 507 of the family's 1533-position model. The record is from RNAcentral.
AGCGAACGCUGGCGGCAUGCUUAACACAUGCAAGUCGCGCGGGUGGUUUCGGCCAUCAGCGGCGGACGGGUGCGUAUCGCGUAGGAAUGUAUCCCGAGGUGGGGGACAACCCUGGGACACUGGGGCUAAUACCGCAUGGGGCCUGUGGGUCAAAGCCUUAGGGCGCCGUGGGCGCAGCCUGCGUCCGAUUCGGUAGUGGGUGGGGUAAGGGACUACCAAGCCUGGGAUCGGUAGCUGGUCGGAGAGGACGAUCAGCCAGACUGGGACUGAGACACGGCCCAGACGCCUACGGGAGGCAGGAGUGGGUAAUAUUGGACAAGGGGCGCAAGCCUGAUCCAGCAAGGCCGGGUGGGUGAAGAAGGUGUUCGGAUUGGAAAGCCCCAUCGGCGGGGACGAUGAUGACGGUACCCGCAGAAGAAGCCCCGGCUAACUUCGUG